This 75-nucleotide transfer RNA is filed under the name Candidatus Tremblayella phenacoccinincola. RNAcentral describes it as "Candidatus Tremblaya phenacola tRNA-Val". It matches the Rfam family "tRNA". From Rfam's summary of the family: Transfer RNA (tRNA) molecules are approximately 80 nucleotides in length. Their secondary structure includes four short double-helical elements and three loops (D, anti-codon, and T loops). The record is from RNAcentral. Lineage: Bacteria; Pseudomonadati; Pseudomonadota; Betaproteobacteria.
ACAUCCGUAGUUCAGCUGGUUAGAACAUCACUAUGACAUAGUGAAAGUCAGAGGUUCAAGACCUUUCGGAUGUAC